UACGUAGGUGGCAAGCGUUAUCCGGAAUUAUUGGGCGUAAAGAGCGCGCAGGUGGUUGAUUAAGUCUGAUGUGAAAGCCCACGGCUUAACCGUGGAGGGUCAUUGGAAACUGGUCGACUUGAGUGCAGAAGAGGGAAGUGGAAUUCCAUGUGUAGCGGUGAGAUGCGUAGAGAUAUGGAGGAACACCAGUGGCGAAGGCGGCUUCCUGGUCUGUAACUGACGCUGAGGCGCGAAAGCCAGGGGAGCAAACGGGAUUAGAUACCCGU
This 266-nucleotide ribosomal RNA is filed under the name uncultured prokaryote. Its description in RNAcentral is "partial 16S ribosomal RNA". It matches the Rfam family "Bacterial small subunit ribosomal RNA", at positions 524 to 790 of the family's 1533-position model. The record is from RNAcentral.